This 269-nucleotide ribosomal RNA is filed under the name uncultured prokaryote. Its description in RNAcentral is "partial 16S ribosomal RNA". It matches the Rfam family "Bacterial small subunit ribosomal RNA", at positions 524 to 792 of the family's 1533-position model. The record is from RNAcentral.
CACGUAGGAGGCAAGCGUUAUCCGGAUUUACUGGGCGUAAAGCGCGUGCAGGCGGUUUGGUAAGUUGGAUGUGAAAGCUCCUGGCUUAACUGGGAGAGGUCGUUCAAUACUGCCAAACUAGAGGACGGUAGAGGAAGGUAGAAUUCCUGGUGUAGUGGUGAAAUGCGUAGAUAUCAGGAGGAAUACCAGAGGCGAAGGCGGCCUUCUGGGCCGUUCCUGACGCUAAGACGCGAAAGCAUGGGUAGCAAACGGGAUUAGAUACCCCCGUA